GACGAACGCUGGCGGCGUGCCUAAUACAUGCAAGUCGAACGAGAGCACCCGGUGCUUGCACUGGUCAAUCUAGUGGCGAACGGGUGAGUAACACGUGGGUAACCUGCCCAUCAGAGGGGGAUAACAUCCGGAAACGGAUGCUAAAACCGCAUAGGUCUUCGAACCGCAUGGUUUGAAGAGGAAAAGAGGCGCAAGCUUCUGCUGAUGGAUGGACCCGCGGUGCAUUAGCUAGUUGGUGAGGUAACGGCUCACCAAGGCCGUGAUGCAUAGCCGACCUGAGAGGGGGAUCGGCCACAUUGGGACUGAGACACGGCCCAAACUCCUACGGGAGGCGGCAGUAGGGAAUCUUCCGCAAUGGACGCAAGUCUGACGGAGCAACGCCGCGUGAGUGAAGAAGGUUUUCGGAUCGUAAAACUCUGUUGUUAGAGAAGAACAAGUGCUAGAGUAACUGUUAGCGCCUUGACGGUAUCUAACCAGAAAGCCACGGCUAACUACGUG
This 498-nucleotide ribosomal RNA is filed under the name uncultured bacterium. RNAcentral's name for it is "partial 16S ribosomal RNA". It matches the Rfam family "Bacterial small subunit ribosomal RNA", at positions 28 to 507 of the family's 1533-position model. The record is from RNAcentral.